UACGUAGGUGGCAAGCGUUAUCCGGAUUUACUGGGUGUAAAGGGCGCGUAGGCGGGAUUGCAAGUCAGAUGUGAAAUGCCGGGGCUUAACCCUGGAGCUGCAUUUGAAACUGUGAUUCUUGAGUAUCGGAGAGGCAGGCGGAAUUCCUAGUGUAGCGGUGAAAUGCGUAGAUAUUAGGAGGAACACCAGCGGCGAAGGCGGCCUGCUGGACGACAACUGACGCUGAGGCGCGAAAGCGUGGGGAGCAAACAGG
This 253-nucleotide ribosomal RNA is filed under the name uncultured bacterium. RNAcentral's name for it is "partial 16S ribosomal RNA". It matches the Rfam family "Bacterial small subunit ribosomal RNA", at positions 524 to 776 of the family's 1533-position model. The record is from RNAcentral.